This 460-nucleotide ribosomal RNA is filed under the name uncultured bacterium. Its description in RNAcentral is "partial 16S ribosomal RNA". It matches the Rfam family "Bacterial small subunit ribosomal RNA", at positions 338 to 795 of the family's 1533-position model. The record is from RNAcentral.
CCUACGGGAGGCAGCAGUGAGGAAUAUUGGUCAAUGGGCGAGAGCCUGAACCAGCCAAGUCGCGUGAAGGAUGACGGCCCUACGGGUUGUAAACUUCUUUUGUCAGGGAGCAAUUGGGUCCACGCGUGGGCUUAGCGAGAGUACCUGAAGAUAAAGCAUCGGCUAACUCCGUGCCAGCAGCCGCGGUAAUACGGAGGAUGCGAGCGUUAUCCGGAUUUAUUGGGUUUAAGGGGUGCGUAGGCGGAAUAUCAAGUCAGCGGUAAAAAUUCGGGGCUAAACCCCGUCGUGCCGUUGAAACUGAUGGUCUUGAGUGUGCGAGAGGUAUGCGGAAUGCGUGGUGUAGCGGUGAAAUGCAUAGAUAUCACGCAGAACUCCGAUUGCGAAGGCAGCAUACCGGCGCCCAACUGACGCUGAAGCACGAAAGCGUGGGUAUCGAACAGGAUUAGAUACCCUUGUAGUC